GCAUGUAAGUGUGACUUGGUUUCCAAUUGCCAAAGUGUGACAAGUUGUCUCAUAAACCUAUCACACUUCCAUGAAGAAGACAGCAGAAUUACAAAAACCAUGGGAAUCCCAUUCCUUCUCCUGUUAUGAUUAUCAAGGGAGGAGCAACCAAAGUGGAGCAAAGGUCUUACAGGUGGAAGCCCUGUUCUCCUCCUCUUCAGGAAGAGCCCAGGAAGAGAUGCCAGAGAGAAGGGCAGGGUGGCAUCUUCUCUGAGAGCAUCUGCCAGUCCUUCCACACAGCAUGAGACUGGGUGUAAGAGACACUGCACUACUCUAACAAAAGAAUCCGGACGGUGGGAAAUCUGUGGAAUCUCUUCCUACACUGAAGAUGUUCUAAGAGAUGCUGGAAUUGAAGCCAAGAUCCAGCAAUGAAAAUGUAAACCUGGAGAGUGGCAACUUGAAGCCAUGGCUGAUACUUCUACCCAGAACCAAGCCGAUGUGCCUGCAAGAUUUGGGAAAUGAAACCCCUCAAAGAGGGGGGUUUGUUCAGACUGUACAUGAAAUAAGAGCAGAAAGAGGCAGCACAUGUCACUGGAUUCACAGCCCCUUGUCACUUGCCGAUGACAGGCCGCUGUCCUCUGGGAGCUUCCCCUGCCUGCUGGCUGGUGCUGGGCUCUGCUUGGCAGACUGGUGAGAUCCAUGUUUCUGGAGACUUAAGAUGCCAGGACCCAUCCUGCUCUGAAGCCUGGAUGGCCAGCUGAAGAUCUGACAGCCUCACCUGAAGGGAAAACAUCUCUAUGGCUGGGUCCCUCUCUCCUCUGGGUAUCAAAAAGUAGAUGGAGGAUCCACCGCAGGGAGUGUCUGAAACUCUUCUGGGACCACUUGGCGCCCCUCAAAUUAUGGGCCAAGCUAAAGAAAUGAAAACCAGAUGUGGCCCCAAAUGUGACAGUACUUGCUCGUAAUUAUAAUGAUCUUUAUGGACUCUUUAUUGAGCCUCAAAUUGAAGUUUAGUGAACAAUUGCCAAAAGAUGUGGGGUUUCCCACGGUAGAUGUCACAAGGAAGACAGCAUUCGAGCUGAGUCCC
This 1063-nucleotide long non-coding RNA is filed under the name Heterocephalus glaber (naked mole-rat). RNAcentral's name for it is "lncRNA (ENSHGLG00000031327.2)". Lineage: Eukaryota; Metazoa; Chordata; Mammalia; Rodentia; Bathyergidae. The record is from RNAcentral.